AACGAACGCUGGCGGCAUGCCUAACACAUGCAAGUCGAACGAGACCUUCGGGUCUAGUGGCGCACGGGUGCGUAACGCGUGGGAACCUGCCCUUAGGUUCGGAAUAACUCCCCGAAAGGGGUGCUAAUACCGGAUAAUGUCUUCGGACCAAAGAUUUAUCGCCUUUGGAUGGGCCCGCGUUGGAUUAGCUAGUUGGUAGGGUAAAAGCCUACCAAGGCGACGAUCCAUAGCUGGUCUGAGAGGAUGAUCAGCCACACUGGGACUGAGACACGGCCCAGACUCCUCCGGGAGGAAGCAGUGGGGAAUAUUGGACAAUGGGCGAAAGACUGAUCCAGCAAUGCCGCGUGAGUGAUGAAGGCCUUAGGGUUGUAAAGCUCUUUUAUCCGGGAUGAUAAUGACAGUACCGGGAGAAUAAGCUCCGGCUAACUCCGUG
Molecule: ribosomal RNA, 433 nt
Filed under: uncultured bacterium
Lineage: Bacteria
Description: partial 16S ribosomal RNA
Rfam family: Bacterial small subunit ribosomal RNA
Source: RNAcentral